AGCGUACACGGUGGAUGCCCUGGCAGUCAGAGGCGAUGAAGGACGUGCUAAUCUGCGAUAAGCGUCGGUAAGGUGAUAUGAACCGUUAUAACCGGCGAUUUCCGAAUGGGGAAACCCAGUGUGAUUCGUCACACUAUCAUUAACUGAAUCCAUAGGUUAAUGAGGCGAACCGGGGGAACUGAAACAUCUAAGUACCCCGAGGAAAAGAAAUCAACCGAGAUUCCCCCAGUAGCGGCGAGCGAACGGGGAGCAGCCCAGAGCCUGAAUCAGUGUGUGUGUUAGUGGAAGCGUCUGGAAAGGCGCGCGAUACAGGGUGACAGCCCCGUACACAAAAAUGCACAUGCUGUGAGCUCGAUGAGUAGGGCGGGACACGUGGUAUCCUGUCUGAAUAUGGGGGGACCAUCCUCCAAGGCUAAAUACUCCUGACUGACCGAUAGUGAACCAGUACCGUGAGGGAAAGGCGAAAAGAACCCCGGCGAGGGGAGUGAAAAAGAACCUGAAACCGUGUACGUACAAGCAGUGGGAGCACGCUUAGGCGUGUGACUGCGUACCUUUUGUAUAAUGGGUCAGCGACUUAUAUUCUGUAGCAAGGUUAACCGAAUAGGGGAGCCGAAGGGAAACCGAGUCUUAACUGGGCGUUAAGUUGCAGGGUAUAGACCCGAAACCCGGUGAUCUAGCCAUGGGCAGGUUGAAGGUUGGGUAACACUAACUGGAGGACCGAACCGACUAAUGUUGAAAAAUUAGCGGAUGACUUGUGGCUGGGGGUGAAAGGCCAAUCAAACCGGGAGAUAGCUGGUUCUCCCCGAAAGCUAUUUAGGUAGCGCCUCGUGAAUUCAUCUCCGGGGGUAGAGCACUGUUUCGGCAAGGGGGUCAUCCCGACUUACCAACCCGAUGCAAACUGCGAAUACCGGAGAAUGUUAUCACGGGAGACACACGGCGGGUGCUAACGUCCGUCGUGAAGAGGGAAACAACCCAGACCGCCAGCUAAGGUCCCAAAGUCAUGGUUAAGUGGGAAACGAUGUGGGAAGGCCCAGACAGCCAGGAUGUUGGCUUAGAAGCAGCCAUCAUUUAAAGAAAGCGUAAUAGCUCACUGGUCGAGUCGGCCUGCGCGGAAGAUGUAACGGGGCUAAACCAUGCACCGAAGCUGCGGCAGCGACGCUUAUGCGUUGUUGGGUAGGGGAGCGUUCUGUAAGCCUGUGAAGGUGUGCUGUGAGGCAUGCUGGAGGUAUCAGAAGUGCGAAUGCUGACAUAAGUAACGAUAAAGCGGGUGAAAAGCCCGCUCGCCGGAAGACCAAGGGUUCCUGUCCAACGUUAAUCGGGGCAGGGUGAGUCGACCCCUAAGGCGAGGCCGAAAGGCGUAGUCGAUGGGAAACAGGUUAAUAUUCCUGUACUUGGUGUUACUGCGAAGGGGGGACGGAGAAGGCUAUGUUGGCCGGGCGACGGUUGUCCCGGUUUAAGCGUGUAGGCUGGUUUUCCAGGCAAAUCCGGAAAAUCAAGGCUGAGGCGUGAUGACGAGGCACUACGGUGCUGAAGCAACAAAUGCCCUGCUUCCAGGAAAAGCCUCUAAGCAUCAGGUAACAUCAAAUCGUACCCCAAACCGACACAGGUGGUCAGGUAGAGAAUACCAAGGCGCUUGAGAGAACUCGGGUGAAGGAACUAGGCAAAAUGGUGCCGUAACUUCGGGAGAAGGCACGCUGAUAUGUAGGUGAAGUCCCUCGCGGAUGGAGCUGAAAUCAGUCGAAGAUACCAGCUGGCUGCAACUGUUUAUUAAAAACACAGCACUGUGCAAACACGAAAGUGGACGUAUACGGUGUGACGCCUGCCCGGUGCCGGAAGGUUAAUUGAUGGGGUUAGCGCAAGCGAAGCUCUUGAUCGAAGCCCCGGUAAACGGCGGCCGUAACUAUAACGGUCCUAAGGUAGCGAAAUUCCUUGUCGGGUAAGUUCCGACCUGCACGAAUGGCGUAAUGAUGGCCAGGCUGUCUCCACCCGAGACUCAGUGAAAUUGAACUCGCUGUGAAGAUGCAGUGUACCCGCGGCAAGACGGAAAGACCCCGUGAACCUUUACUAUAGCUUGACACUGAACAUUGAGCCUUGAUGUGUAGGAUAGGUGGGAGGCUUAGAAGUGUGGACGCCAGUCUGCAUGGAGCCGACCUUGAAAUACCACCCUUUAAUGUUUGAUGUUCUAACGUUGACCCGUAAUCCGGGUUGCGGACAGUGUCUGGUGGGUAGUUUGACUGGGGCGGUCUCCUCCUAAAGAGUAACGGAGGAGCACGAAGGUUGGCUAAUCCUGGUCGGACAUCAGGAGGUUAGUGCAAUGGCAUAAGCCAGCUUGACUGCGAGCGUGACGGCGCGAGCAGGUGCGAAAGCAGGUCAUAGUGAUCCGGUGGUUCUGAAUGGAAGGGCCAUCGCUCAACGGAUAAAAGGUACUCCGGGGAUAACAGGCUGAUACCGCCCAAGAGUUCAUAUCGACGGCGGUGUUUGGCACCUCGAUGUCGGCUCAUCACAUCCUGGGGCUGAAGUAGGUCCCAAGGGUAUGGCUGUUCGCCAUUUAAAGUGGUACGCGAGCUGGGUUUAGAACGUCGUGAGACAGUUCGGUCCCUAUCUGCCGUGGGCGCUGGAGAAUUGAGGGGGGCUGCUCCUAGUACGAGAGGACCGGAGUGGACGCAUCACUGGUGUUCGGGUUGUCAUGCCAAUGGCACUGCCCGGUAGCUAAAUGCGGAAGAGAUAAGUGCUGAAAGCAUCUAAGCACGAAACUUGCCCCGAGAUGAGUUCU
RNAcentral lists this ribosomal RNA (2773 nucleotides) under Escherichia coli. RNAcentral describes it as "bacterial LSU rRNA". It matches the Rfam family "Bacterial large subunit ribosomal RNA". The record is from RNAcentral. Lineage: Bacteria; Pseudomonadati; Pseudomonadota; Gammaproteobacteria; Enterobacterales; Enterobacteriaceae.